RNAcentral lists this ribosomal RNA (301 nucleotides) under uncultured bacterium. RNAcentral describes it as "partial 16S ribosomal RNA". It matches the Rfam family "Bacterial small subunit ribosomal RNA", at positions 509 to 807 of the family's 1533-position model. The record is from RNAcentral.
CAGCCGCCGCGGGAAUACGUAGGUGGCAAGCGUUGUCCGGAAUUAUUGGGCGUAAAGGGCUCGCAGGCGGUUUCUUAAGUCUGAUGUGAAAGCCCCCGGCUCAACCGGGGAGGGUCAUUGGAAACUGGGAAACCUGAGUGCAGAAGAGGAGAGUGGAAUUCCACGUGUAGCGGUGGAAUGCGUAGAGAUGUGGAGGAACACCAGUGGCGAAGGCGACUCUCUGGUCUGUAACCGACGCUGAGGAGCGAAAGCGUGGGGAGCGAACAGGAUUAGAUACCCCCGUAGUCCCUGUCUCUUAUAC